This 240-nucleotide ribosomal RNA is filed under the name uncultured bacterium. RNAcentral describes it as "partial 16S ribosomal RNA". It matches the Rfam family "Bacterial small subunit ribosomal RNA", at positions 94 to 334 of the family's 1533-position model. The record is from RNAcentral.
AGUGGCGGACGGGUGAGUAACGCGUGGGUAACCUACCUCAUACAGGGGGAUAACAGUUAGAAAUGACUGCUAAUACCGCAUAAGACCACAGCACCGCAUGGUGCAGGGGUAAAAACUCCGGUGGUAUGAGAUGGACCCGCGUCUGAUUAGGUAGUUGGUGGGGUAACGGCCUACCAAGCCGACGAUCAGUAGCCGACCUGAGAGGGUGACCGGCCACAUUGGGACUGAGACACGGCCCAA